RNAcentral lists this ribosomal RNA (398 nucleotides) under uncultured bacterium. RNAcentral describes it as "bacterial SSU rRNA". It matches the Rfam family "Bacterial small subunit ribosomal RNA", at positions 357 to 772 of the family's 1533-position model. The record is from RNAcentral.
GGGAAUCUUAGACAAUGGGGGAAACCCUGAUCUAGCCAUGCCGCGUGAGUGACGAAGGCCCUAGGGUCGUAAAGCUCUUUCAGCUGUGAAGAUAAUGACGGUAGCAGCAGAAGAAACCCCGGCUAACUCCGUGCCAGCAGCCGCGGUAAUACGGAGGGGGUUAGCGUUGUUCGGAAUUACUGGGCGUAAAGCGCACGUAGGCGGACUAUUAAGUCAGGGGUGAAAUCCCGGGGCUCAACCCCGGAACUGCCCUUGAUACUGGUAGUCUCGAGUUCGAGAGAGGUGAGUGGAAUUCCGAGUGUAGAGGUGAAAUUCGUAGAUAUUCGGAGGAACACCAGUGGCGAAGGCGGCUCACUGGCUCGGUACUGACGCUGAGGUGCGAAAGCGUGGGGAGCAAA